CCAGGACUCCUUUUGUUUCAGCAGAUGUGUCAGGUAGUGACCUUGUCAGUGGAAAGAUACCAACCAUUAGGCCAAGAUGAAAGUUGGAAAAGAUCAGCUUUAAUAAAUGUAGUUUUUCUAAUAUCAGAAUGUCAAUACCCUCUAAAUGGCUAAAAUAGAAUUUUGGUUCCUUAUCUAUAUUUUAGAUUUCAGUUUGUUCCCUUAUGUUCAAAAAGUUUCACUUUUGUCCCUUAAAUUUUCUUAGUUACACCAAAUUGGUCCUUCCAUAAGUUUAUCACACUAAUUUGAUCAUUUUGGUGACAUGUGGUAAACUAUAAGAGAAGUCACAUCCGCCUAAAUUGACACCAUCAGUGCUAAAAACUGACAAAAGGACCAAUUUGGUUUAACAGAGACACUAUAAGGUGCCAAAGUGAAACCUUGUAAGGGACAAAAUUGAAACCUAAAAUAUAGAUAAGGGACCAGAAUUCUAUUUUAGCCCUCUGCGAAUUAAACAAUGGAACCACCAAAUGUACUAUUUUUCAGUUAUACUUGUUAAUUUGUUUUGUGUGCUUCCUAUUUUAAGGUUAAUUG
Molecule: long non-coding RNA, 570 nt
Filed under: Glycine max (soybean)
Lineage: Eukaryota; Viridiplantae; Streptophyta; Magnoliopsida; Fabales; Fabaceae
Description: long non-coding RNA (GMAX_LNC000457)
Source: RNAcentral